This 438-nucleotide long non-coding RNA is filed under the name Zostera marina. RNAcentral describes it as "long non-coding RNA (ZMAR_LNC001851)". Lineage: Eukaryota; Viridiplantae; Streptophyta; Magnoliopsida; Alismatales; Zosteraceae. The record is from RNAcentral.
AUGGCAAAAACAAGUACUCUUAUUUUAACCUAUAAAGAAAUAUUUAGUAAUAAAAGUAUAAGUGCAUUUGCAAUAUUUUCAUUAUUAAUGAUGAUUUUGGUGUUUUUGGAAGAAAAAAAACAAAUCUUACGUCUUUUUCAUUACAAAAUAACCCUGGAUGGUACUUUCCUGUUCUUGCAUAUUCUUUGCUGAUCUCCAGAGAACCAGAAAUAACACAUUAAGAAUCAAUUUGCAUACAAGUGUUGACGGAUGGUAAAUCUUAAAAUCAGAUAUUAAGAGUUAGUGUGAACUUACACAUGUAUUAUGUUGUCAAUUACCAAAAAAACAUGAUCCUAAUUUCCAGUUGCAGAUAUUUUAUCUGCUUUUGGAGGCGCCCAUUGUUGACUAAGACGGGACUUUACCCAUGGAUCAAGAGGUGCUUUUUGUGGUGGUUGGGGA